GCUCACCUGGCUCGAAGGGCCAAGUGAGCUUUUCUCAUCACUUGGCGUCCGUCGUCCGUCGUCGUCGUUAACUUUUUAUAUUUUGAACUUCUUCUAGAGAACCACUGAAUGGAAUGAAACCAAACAUGGCAUGAAUGUUCCUUAUGAGGUGCUGACCAAGUAUUGUUACUUUGUAGCGGAUCCAUCAUCCAAGAUGGCCGCCAGCAGGGGACUUAGUUUAACAUAGGACCCUAUGGGAAAUACAUACAAAUGUCUUCUUUUAGAGAACCACUGAAUGGAAUGAAACCAAACAUGGCAUGAAUGUUCCUUAUGAGGUGCUGACCAAGUGUUGUUACUUUGAAGCUGAUCCAUUAUCCAAGAUGGAUGCCAGCAGGGGACUUAGUUUAACAUGGGACCCUAUAGGAAAUACAUACAAAUGUCUUCUUUUAGAGAACCACUGAAUGGAAUGAAACCAAACAUGGCAUGAAUGUUCCUUAUGAGGUGCUGACCAAGUGUUGUUACUAUGAAGCCGAUCCAUAAUCCAAGAUGGCCGCCAGCAGGGGACUUAGUUUAACAUUGGACCCUAUGGGAAAUACAUACAAAUGUCUUCUUUUAGAGAACCACUGAAUGGAAUGAAACCAAACAUGGCAUGAAUGUUUCUUAUGAGGUGCUGACCGAAUGUUGUUACUUUGAAGCCGAUCCAUAAUCCAAGAUGGCCGCCAGCAGGGGACUUUGUUUAACAUGGGACCCUAUGAGAAAUACAUAUAAAUGUCUUCUUUUAAAGAACCACUGAAUGGAAUGAAACCAAACAUGGCAUGAAUGUUCCUUAUGAGGUGCUGACCAAGUGUUGUUACUUUGUAGCCGAUCCAUCAUCCAAGAUGGCCGCCAGCGGGGGACUUAGUUUAACAAAGGACCCUAUGGGAAAUACAUACAAAUGUCUUCUUUUAGAGAACCACUGAAUGGAAUGAAACAAAACAUGGCAUGAAUGUUCCUUAUGAGGUGCUGACCAAGUGUUGUUACUUUGCAGUCGGUCCAUCAUCCAAGAUGGCCGCCAGCGGGUGACUUAGUUUAACAUAGGACCCUAAGGGAAAUACAUUCAAAUGUCUUCUUUUAGAGAACCAGUGAAUGGAAUGAAACCAAAUAUGGCAUGAAUGUUCCUUAUGAGGUGCUGACCAAGUGUUGUUACUUUGAAGCCGAUCCAUAAUCCAAGAUGGCCGCCAGCGGGGGACUUAGUUUAACAAAGGACCCUAUGGGAAAUACAUACAAAUGUCUUCUUUUAGAGAACCACUGAAUGGAAUGAAACAAAACAUGGCAUGAAUGUUCCUUAUGAGGUGCUGACCAAGUGUUGUUACAUUGCAGCGGAUCCAUCAUCCAAGAUGGCCACCAGGGGGGACUUAGUUUAACAUAGGACCCUUUGGGAAAUACAUACAAAUGUCUCCUUUAGAGUACCACUGAAUGGAAUGAAACCAAACAUGGCAUGAAUGUUCCUUAUGAGGUGCUGACCAAGUGUUGCUUCUUUGUUGCCGAUUUACUGUUCAAGAUGGCCACCAGGAUAUUUUAUUAAAUAACGGGGACCAAUAUUAAACCAAAUUUGGCCUCAAUCAUUAUUUGGGUAUCUGUUAUGAUUUUUAUCUAUCUUUACAUGAUUUCUGAAACCAAAGUAGAGUCAGGUGAGCGACACAGGCUCUUGAGAGCCUCU
Mytilus californianus (California mussel) is the source of this 1678-nucleotide long non-coding RNA. RefSeq lists it as uncharacterized. NCBI's taxonomy places the organism in Eukaryota, Metazoa, Mollusca, Bivalvia, Mytilida, Mytilidae. The transcript is spliced from 3 exons. The record is from RefSeq and is a predicted model, not a curated record.